GACGAACGCUGGCGGCGUGCUUAACACAUGCAAGUCGAACGAAGAGCGAUGGAAGCUUGCUUCUAUCAAUCUUAGUGGCGAACGGGUGAGUAACGCGUAAUCAACCUGCCCUUCAGAGGGGGACAACAGUUGGAAACGACUGCUAAUACCGCAUACGAUCUAAUCUCGGCAUCGAGGAUAGAUGAAAGGUGGCCUCUACAUGUAAGCUAUCACUGAAGGAGGGGAUUGCGUCUGAUUAGCUAGUUGGAGGGGUAACGGCCCACCAAGGCGAUGAUCAGUAGCCGGUCUGAGAGGAUGAACGGCCACAUUGGGACUGAGACGCGGCCCAGACUCCUACGGGAGGCAGCAGUGGGGAAUCUUCCGCAAUGGACGAAAGUCUGACGGAGCAACGCCGCGUGAGUGAUGACGGCCUUCGGGUUGUAAAGCUCUGUUAAUCGGGACGAAAGGCCUUCUUGCGAAUAGUGAGAAGGAUUGACGGUACCGGAAUAGAAAGCCACGGCUAACUACGUG
This 510-nucleotide ribosomal RNA is filed under the name uncultured bacterium. RNAcentral describes it as "partial 16S ribosomal RNA". It matches the Rfam family "Bacterial small subunit ribosomal RNA", at positions 28 to 507 of the family's 1533-position model. The record is from RNAcentral.